Phthorimaea operculella (potato tuberworm) is the source of this 75-nucleotide non-coding RNA. The record is from the annotation of a GenBank genome assembly. Lineage: Eukaryota; Metazoa; Arthropoda; Insecta; Lepidoptera; Gelechiidae.
GCCACCGUAGUGUAGCGGUCAAACACAUCUGACCCAGCUUGUCAGAAGACGUGGGUUCGAAUCCCAUCUGUGGCG